UGGGGAAUAUUGCACAAUGGGCGCAAGCCUGAUGCAGCCAUGCCGCGUGUAUGAAGAAGGCCUUCGGGUUGUAAAGUACUUUCAGUCGGGAGGAAGGUGGUAAGGUUAAUAACCUUAUCAAUUGACGUUACCGACAGAAGAAGCACCGGCUAACUCCGUGCCAGCAGCCGCGGUAAUACGGAGGGUGCAAGCGUUAAUCGGAAUUACUGGGCGUAAAGCGCACGCAGGCGGUCUGUCAAGUCGGAUGUGAAAUCCCCGGGCCCAACCUGGGAACUGCAUUCGAAACUGGCAGGCUAGAGUCUUGUAGAGGGGGGUAGAAUUCCAGGUGUAGCGGUGAAAUGCGUAGAGAUCUGGAGGAAUACCGGUGGCGAAGGCGGCCCCCUGGACAAAGACUGACGCUCAGGUGCGAAAGCGUGGGGAGCAAACAGG
RNAcentral lists this ribosomal RNA (429 nucleotides) under Chloroflexota bacterium. RNAcentral describes it as "Chloroflexi bacterium partial 16S ribosomal RNA". It matches the Rfam family "Bacterial small subunit ribosomal RNA", at positions 355 to 776 of the family's 1533-position model. Lineage: Bacteria; Bacillati; Chloroflexota. The record is from RNAcentral.